CUGAACGCUGGCGGCGUGGCUAAGACAUGCAAGUCGCACGGACGUAGCAAUACGUCAGUGGCGGACGGGUGAGUAAUGUAUCGCUAACGUGCCCCGGAGACAGGGAUAGCUGCCCGAAAGGGCAGGUAAUACCAGAUGAGACCACGAACAGGCAUCUGUUCGUGCUCAAAGGCCGCAAGGUGCUCUGGGAGCGGGCGAUAUCGUAUCAGCUUGUUGGUGAGGUAACGGCUCACCAAGGCGACGACGCGUAGCUGGUCUGAGAGGACGACCAGCCACAUCGGGACUGAGACACUGCCCGGACUCCUACGGGGGGCUGCAGUAACGAAUCUUCCACAAUGCACGAAAGUGUGAUGGAGCGACGCCGCGUGUGGGACGAAGUCCUUCGGGAUGUAAACCACUGUCAGGGGUUACCAAGUUCUGAGGAGCCCCAGAGGAAGGCACGGCUAACUCUGU
RNAcentral lists this ribosomal RNA (453 nucleotides) under uncultured bacterium. Its description in RNAcentral is "bacterial SSU rRNA". It matches the Rfam family "Bacterial small subunit ribosomal RNA", at positions 30 to 506 of the family's 1533-position model. The record is from RNAcentral.